RNAcentral lists this RNase P RNA (382 nucleotides) under Chitinophagaceae bacterium. RNAcentral describes it as "RNase P RNA component class A". It matches the Rfam family "Bacterial RNase P class A". Rfam says of the family: Ribonuclease P (RNase P) is a ubiquitous endoribonuclease, found in archaea, bacteria and eukarya as well as chloroplasts and mitochondria. RNAcentral also lists the same sequence under 2 other names. The record is from RNAcentral. Lineage: Bacteria; Pseudomonadati; Bacteroidota; Chitinophagia; Chitinophagales; Chitinophagaceae.
CCUGUAAACCGUUCUAUCGCUCGGCAGCAAUGCAGGGAGGAAAGUCCGGAUAACACAGAGCACCGCAACACCUAACAGGUGUGUAUCCGCCUCGGCGGAUAACGGAACAGUGCCACAGAAAAUUACUACCCUGAAGUGACUGCGCCCAAGCGUAGUCUACUUCAGGGAAAAGGUGAAAACGCGAGGUAAAAGCUCACGGGUGCUGGUGGUAACAUCAGUAUCGGGUAAACCCUGCGGGUUACAAUGCCAAAUAUGCCGGAGUAAAAGAAAAGCUGCUCGUUUUAAUCUUCGGCGGGUAGGCAGCAAGAACCUGAUGGUGACAUCAGGACCAGAUAAAUGAUAGAAACUCAAACAGAAUCCGGCUUAUGAGUUUAUGGGAAUU